UAUUGGUCAAGGGGUAUAUAGCUACAAACUAAAGUUUGUAAUGGUGAUUUAUCACAGUUGGGUAUCAAACAUGGAAAAAAUGAGAAAUUCAAAUAAGGAAAAAUACUUAAAAUAUUAUGCACCAUUUAUUUCUGUUGCCAAAGUUUUCCAACCUAUUUUUAUUGCAUGGGAAGCACUGACUAAACAAAAGCAUUUUAUUUGCAGACAUGUUUGUAAUAGAAAGGACAGAGUGGGGUAAAGGAGAGACGUGACAAACCAGAGGUCUGGACUCAAAUCUAGUGUCGUCUUCCCUUUUAUUGUCCCUCCUCCUAUGAAUACAGAGUACAUCGGCCAUCACACUUGGAGGUCUCGCUAGUUCACAUACAUAAGAAGCUGGUUCCAACUUUUCUUUCGCAGCACACUGUCGUCCCACCCUGAAUUACACAUUUUUUUCAGAAAACGCAAGCAGUAGUGCCAUCAUAGUAAUAGUUAAAAAUAAAAACACCGCAAAGAUCACAGAAGGAAUAAAAAUAAACAAAUGGUACUGAUGCAAAUAGACCACGUGCUUAGUAGCUAGAUUUCAAACGUCAUCAUAAUCUAAGUGCAAGACAUGUCAACAACCUCAGCUAGAGAAAACUCACUAAAGUCAAUAAAACUUCAUGUUAAGAGCAUGACUUGCUGAAACUUACCAUCUUAAGCUCAGGAAAAUAAACUUAUGGCAGAUGAUCGAGUUUUUAAAAAGGUUCUCUCUCACACACACACACACACACACACACACAUAAUUCACCCACGUUUAGUUCAGAAAGUGGUCCUAAGGUUUCUAAGAGAUGAACUUACAAGGACCAGCCUGGAUCUCCAUUGAGCCCUGGGUGCUUCAACAAGACGAGGAAAUAAUCUCUCUGAGGAACAAAGACAACUAUGCAUACUAAUAUCACAGGUCCAGCAGAGGACGACAGAAAACACCAAAGCAAGAUCAAGACGAUGCAUUUGCUUCUUGCUACCGGUCAAGAAAAAAAA
This is a long non-coding RNA of Sinocyclocheilus anshuiensis, 996 nucleotides long. RefSeq lists it as uncharacterized. The transcript has 2 exons. NCBI's taxonomy places the organism in Eukaryota, Metazoa, Chordata, Actinopteri, Cypriniformes, Cyprinidae. The record is from RefSeq and is a predicted model, not a curated record.